UACGGGGGGGGCAAGCGUUGUUCGGAAUUACUGGGCGUAAAGCGUCCGCAGGUGGCAGUUCAAGUCUGCUGUCAAAGACCGGGGCUUAACUUCGGAAAGGCAGUGGAAACUGAACAGCUAGAGUAUGGUAGGGGCAGAGGGAAUUCCUGGUGUAGCGGUGAAAUGCGUAGAGAUCAGGAAGAACAUCGGUGGCGAAGGCGCUCUGCUGGACCAUAACUGACACUCAGGGACGAAAGCUAGGGGAGCGAAUGGG
This 253-nucleotide ribosomal RNA is filed under the name uncultured bacterium. RNAcentral describes it as "partial 16S ribosomal RNA". It matches the Rfam family "Bacterial small subunit ribosomal RNA", at positions 524 to 776 of the family's 1533-position model. The record is from RNAcentral.